RNAcentral lists this ribosomal RNA (253 nucleotides) under uncultured bacterium. Its description in RNAcentral is "partial 16S ribosomal RNA". It matches the Rfam family "Bacterial small subunit ribosomal RNA", at positions 524 to 776 of the family's 1533-position model. The record is from RNAcentral.
GACGUAGGGCGCGAGCGUUGUCCGGAUUUAUUGGGCGUAAAGAGCUCGUAGGCGGCUUGUCGCGUCGUCCGUGAAAACCCACAGCUCAACUGUGGGCUUGCGGUCGAUACGGGCAGGCUAGAGUUCGGUAGGGGAGACUGGAAUUCCUGGUGUAGCGGUGAAAUGCGCAGAUAUCAGGAGGAACACCAAUAGCGAAGGCAGCUCGCUGGGACGUUACUGACACUGAGGCGCGAAAGCGUGGGGAGCGAACAGG